RNAcentral lists this long non-coding RNA (681 nucleotides) under Ananas comosus (pineapple). RNAcentral describes it as "long non-coding RNA (ACOM_LNC022546)". The record is from RNAcentral. Lineage: Eukaryota; Viridiplantae; Streptophyta; Magnoliopsida; Poales; Bromeliaceae.
GUCCGAUGAGGGGUUCGAAUGUAGGCAAUUGGUUGAGCUGUCAGUCUCGCGCAGGAGCAAGCUUGGCAAAUGCUUGGAUUGAUAUUCCGCUGUUAAGUUCGGAAGACUUGUCCGUGGUUAGGGCUUGGGGAAGGCUUGCCUAUCUUCGAGCAGAAAGGGGGCGCCGCACGGGCUUUACGAAGAAAAAAGUUUUGUUCGUAACAGUUUGGUUCAUAAUCAGAAUAGAAAUGAAAAAUAUAGUUGGAUUUCAUUGAAAUGGAAAAUAUAAUGGAUAUAUAGAAUUUUGAGAGAAAAUUUUGUUCAAGAGAGAGGAGAGUAAUGAAGGGAAAUGAGGGAGAGAUAUUCGCAGGAGAUAAUUUUGAAUGGUUUACUUCUGAAAUAGGCUAAUUCGGAAUUUAAAGCCAAAUUGAGUUAAAAAUGAAUUGGAUCAUUCCCAGUCUAAAGUGAAAUAAAAAUUAAAAUUCGAUUGUAUAAAAUAAAAAAUAACUAUCGAAAUUAAUAAAUUUUAUUCUGAUUUCAUAGUUUAAAAUAAAUGAACCAAAUAAUUCCUUAUUUUUUUAAAUUAAUAUUUUUCUAAUAUUUGAUUAUUUUUAUUUAUUUUAAAAUACUUUUAAUUAAACUUAAUUAUCAGCUUCACAAAAGGUAUUCAUAAACACCAAACUCAACAAUAUCAAAAUUUUA